Molecule: ribosomal RNA, 515 nt
Filed under: uncultured bacterium
Lineage: Bacteria
Description: partial 16S ribosomal RNA
Rfam family: Bacterial small subunit ribosomal RNA
Source: RNAcentral
GAUGAACGCUGGCGGCGUGCCUAAUACAUGCAAGUCGAGCGAAUGGAUUAAGAGCUUGCUCUUAUGAAGUUAGCGGCGGACGGGUGAGUAACACGUGGGUAACCUGCCCAUAAGACUGGGAUAACUCCGGGAAACCGGGGCAAAUACCGGAUAACAUUUUGAACCGCAUGGUUCGAAAUUGAAAGGCGGCUUCGGCUGUCACUUAUGGAUGGACCCGCGUCGCAGUAGCUAGUUGGUGAGGUAACGGCUCACCAAGGCAACGAUGCGUAGCCGACCUGAGAGGGUGAUCGGCCACACUGGGACUGAGACACGGCCCAGACUCCUACGGGAGGCAGCAGUAGGGAAUCUUCCGCAAUGGACGAAAGUCUGAUGGAGCAACGCCGCGUGGGUGAUGAAGGCUUUCGGGUCGUAAAACUCUGUUGUUAGGGAAGAACAAGUGCUAGUUGAAUAAGCUGGCACCUUGACGGUACCUAACCAGAAAGCCACGGCUAACUACGUGCCAGCCGCCGCAGUAA